RNAcentral lists this transfer RNA (71 nucleotides) under Camelus bactrianus (Bactrian camel). It matches the Rfam family "tRNA". From Rfam's summary of the family: Transfer RNA (tRNA) molecules are approximately 80 nucleotides in length. Their secondary structure includes four short double-helical elements and three loops (D, anti-codon, and T loops). RNAcentral also lists the same sequence under 1 other name. The record is from Rfam by way of RNAcentral. Lineage: Eukaryota; Metazoa; Chordata; Mammalia; Artiodactyla; Camelidae.
GAGGAUAUAGUUCAGUGGUGGAGCACAUGCUUAGCAUGCACGGGAUCCAGGUUCAAUCCCCAGUACCUUCA